AUGCAAGAUGUACAGAGUACAAUUUUCAUGGCAAUCAGCAAUGAUUAACCAUAAGCUUGAAUAAAACACUCUUAUUAGAGUUAAGUAAGAACAAACUUGCCUGAACCGUUGAUUACCGCAACGCAAUUUAUAUCGCUUUACCCGAAGACCUAAUAUUAAUAAUAUAGAUCUCCAAUAUUAGAAUCACAGUAUAAUUCUGUUAUAUUUAAAUACAAAGAAUAACCUAAACACAUAACACAUAACCCUAUAAGUCUAUACAGUACAUAAGACUUAAUAUCAGGUCAAAC
This 287-nucleotide long non-coding RNA is filed under the name Panax ginseng (ginseng). RNAcentral describes it as "long non-coding RNA (PGIN_LNC004839)". The record is from RNAcentral. Lineage: Eukaryota; Viridiplantae; Streptophyta; Magnoliopsida; Apiales; Araliaceae.